AGUAUCACGUGGGCAAUCUGUCCUGUCUGGGGGGAUAACACCGGGAAACCGGUGCUAAUACCGCAUGAGAUCAUCGGUCGCCUGGCCGAUGAGGAAAGCAGCAAUGCGCGACUGGGGGAGCCCGCGGCCUAUCAGCUAGUUGGUGGGGUAACGGCCUACCAAGGCUAAGACGGGUAGCUGGCCUGAGAGGACGACCAGCCACACGGGGACUGAGACACGGCCCCG
Molecule: ribosomal RNA, 225 nt
Filed under: uncultured bacterium
Lineage: Bacteria
Description: partial 16S ribosomal RNA
Rfam family: Bacterial small subunit ribosomal RNA
Source: RNAcentral